This 596-nucleotide long non-coding RNA is filed under the name Mytilus galloprovincialis (Mediterranean mussel). Lineage: Eukaryota; Metazoa; Mollusca; Bivalvia; Mytilida; Mytilidae. The record is from RNAcentral.
UGUUGUUGUUAUGAUUGUAAGGUGUACAUUUUCGACUUCUGCAAGGUUUCAACUGACAUCAAACUCAUUAUCAUGCAUCAUUCGGCAAUGUUUGUUUUAUGUUGUUUUUCCUUUUGGUUAUAUACCUUAAUGCUUAUAGCGCCAAGGUAUUUCGUGUAUGGUAUACAUGUAUAUCUGCAUGUUUCAUAUAUGACAAUGGUGAUGUCAAUUGAUAUAUUGAAUGAUAGUAAGAUGUCUAUGUCUGGCUGUCGGUCAGGGUUCAUAUACUUUUGACCUUAUGUUCCGAAUUAAUUGGCCAAGCAUAACUUUUACAUUUGUCAGUUUCUAAGGCACUGUAAAGGAUCGGAACACAUUUAUUUUGGUGUACGGGAUAUUUGUACAGAUCUGUAUGGCAUGGUUCAUCUGACCUUGACCUCUUUUUAUGAACCAAUGACAAUCUUAAGCGCAUUUGACACUUCUAGUAAAACCCUUGAUAUUAUAGACGUUAUAAACAAAUAUACUAUCAUAAGUAAAGCAUUACAGCAUUUGCGAUCUGGUAUUCUACAGUCUGUAGUAUAUAGUUCAAGCAAUCCACAUCUGCGUUGUAUAUAAAGAAC